This 253-nucleotide ribosomal RNA is filed under the name uncultured bacterium. RNAcentral describes it as "partial 16S ribosomal RNA". It matches the Rfam family "Bacterial small subunit ribosomal RNA", at positions 524 to 776 of the family's 1533-position model. The record is from RNAcentral.
UACAGGGGGUGCAAACGUUGCUCGGAAUCAUUGGGCGUAAAGCGCACGUAGGCGGUUCGUUAUGUCGGAUGUGAAAGCCCUUGGCUUAACCGAGGAAGUGCAUCCGAAACUGGCGAGCUAGAGUACGAAAGAGGAUCGCGGAAUUCCCGGUGUAGAGGUGAAAUGCGUAGAUAUCGGGAGGAACACCCGUGGCGAAGGCGGCACUCUGGGACGGUACUGACGCUGAGACGCGAAAGCGUGGGGAGCAAACAGG